This is a long non-coding RNA of Dermacentor andersoni, 2904 nucleotides long. RefSeq lists it as uncharacterized. NCBI's taxonomy places the organism in Eukaryota, Metazoa, Arthropoda, Arachnida, Ixodida, Ixodidae. The record is from RefSeq and is a predicted model, not a curated record.
ACAAUCAAGCAGUUAAGAAUUAAUAAAUUUAUGGUAUAUCAUGAGUGUUUUUUCAAGCGCCGUCUUCUGUGAAGCAUAUCUACCAUUUUCGGGCAAAGCUCCCUGGAAAGCGUAUUGACUGUGUAUGCAUGGAUGCACCUAUCGAACUUCGUGCACAUAUAGACGUGAUGCUUUGACGAUAAAUAUUUAUUAAAAUUCAAAUUAUUUAUUUCUGCCUUGUAAAGGUACAGACAGCGGAGGCGCAGAAAAAGCUGUCAGAUACAGAUUGACAAAGCCACAGCCCCCUUUCGCUUGGAAAAGCCUUUACAGCGAGACUUUUAAAACAAAGACAAUUGCACACGGUAAUAACAGGUAUACAAUAAUGAGCAAGUACAAAAGGAAACAAAACAAGUUUAUACAAUAUUUAUACAAUACUCCCAAAAAAGAAAACAGAACCUACAUGCUAACGUACAUAGCCCCCAAAUUACUGUUCGACGCAUUGAAGAGGUCAAAAUUACUGUUUACAUAAGCUAUAUACAUAUUCGUAUAGAGCUAACAAUCCCUGCAAAAUAUAGAACGCAGAUUUUCAUUACACGCACGCACGCACGUGCACAGCACGCACACCAAAAGGGAACGGCGACGCGCUCACAGGAAGCGCCUGAAAAAAAAAGGAAAAGAAAGGAAAAGUGUGGGGAACCGAAGUCGUCUUGCGCUGUCGCAUCUCCCUCUCCCAGAAGGAAUGAAGAGGUUCUUGGAAAGCAGGGCCGGGCGAUUCUCUCUGUCAGCAUCAGUUCCCAACAAGCGAGGACGGGGCGAGAAAGCGAAGCGGGACUUUCCUUGCUGUCUAUUUUUUUCUUCGUCAGGCCAACGCCACCUGCUCGCAGGGGCGCAGGCGAGUUCCCGCCAAAUGGCGCGGGGGCGUGAGUUGCCGCCAAAUGCUAGCUCUGGAUGCCAGCUCGUUCCGCGUCUCUUGGUAGACUAGUUGGUGCAUUUCUGUUAUCAUGGACUGCGCAUAUAAACGCAAACUACACAAAAAUGACAUGGACAAGAACAGCGCAAGCCCUUUACAUGCAGUGGAGCCGCCGUAUCUCGCCGUUCAAGAUAUGCGUACUCAAAGAAAAAAAAAAGCUUUAUAUGAGAACGGAUCAAGCGUACGAGAGUUGGGACAGGGAAAUCUGAGACGUACUUUCAUGCAUAUAUUUCUAAUAUUAUUUUUUCGUCUUGUAUUUUUCUUAAUUUUUCUCUAGGAAACACUGGAACGACACUGCUUAAUUUGAAGCACAGUGUGCGAAUGACCUGCUACGCUCGGAACUGUUAUCACCAUUCGGGAAGAAAUCAGAUGAAAAAACAAAACUGUAAAUGCCUGUACGAUAUACGUCUGGUGCAUUGCAGGUAAGAAUGGAUUGUGUGUGGCACAUCUCUGCAUGUGGACUAGAGUAGAUCUAGGAACAUCAGACAAGAAGCCACGUAUGUGAAACCCUGCGGAUAGCCCAUAUGUAAGUUGUUCCUCAAUUCUUCUGUUGUUGCAUUUUCGUAGUUUACGUGUAAUACUUUGUCACUGCGGUCUCGACGUUAUGUAUACCUAUACAUUUGUCUCGUGGCAGUCUGCGUGCUAUUUUGUUUGUGCAACUAUGUGUUGUAUUCAUUUAUCGCGCUGCCUGGAUGUUUUUUUUUUUUUUCAUUGAUAUGCUGAGCCAAGUCAGUAAAUCUAUCCUUCCCGUCCUCAUGUUUCCUUGGGCGGCUCUAAAGCGUAUCUUAGAGGAAUAGUUAGCUUCAGACUCCCGCAUGGAACAGAUGGUGAGUGACAUGCUGUUUUCUUUUUAGAGAAACUAUGUAUUCAUGUUUAAUAUUUGGUUGAUUUUCAUUUUGUCAUUCAUACACUACCGCAGCCAUAUGCCGUUCUGUCAUAGAACAUUGUUUCUAGAUAUAUUUGUUUUAUGUGGUUAAAACAUUUAAAACGAGAGCGAUCACAUUUCUUAUCCUGACCAUUAUUUUUUACAGACCACGAUAACCACGUAUUUGGAUGCCUGGUUUAACUCUACAUGCGCUGGUUCGUGCAGGUGAACUUUUUUUACAGAUACGGAGGAACGGACACCGCUCAUGCCGUGCGCACUCUUCUGCAGGGCAUACUUACAAAUGAAGCUGCACUGCAGUUCAGCUGGAAAGGGUCGCAGGGGAGGAAGCACGUCUUCGUGAAGCUCACGGCCAUCACGAAUCUCAUUCUAACAUCUGUGAGGAGCACCUUCCCAGACGCUUCGCUGGCAUCAGUGGCGUGAGUCACGAAACGCUGGUUAGUCGGAGCAGCUGACAGGGAUGGAGGCCGGAACGAGAGAAGGCGCCCUGACCCCGCUUCAAGCCCACCAUGAACUAGCAUUUGAAACUUUUGUGAACGUGUGGGUGUAUAUAUCCAAGACAAAUACAAGAAAUAAAGACCUGUAUAAGAAUAUUUUGCCUGGUAUUUAUGUGGCAUGAAAAGUACAAAAACGCGUUCGCUUUCGUGUGGUACUUCUAUGCCGGCCACCACACAAGCAUGAUGCGCAUGCUAUUGUAAGUGCAUGAUGCAAAUGCUACGAUUAUUCGGAGCGUCAGAAGCAACGUCGGCUAUCAGCACCGGGCCGAUGCAAUGCCGACCAUUAUUGUCGUCAGGGCCAUGGCUUGCCCGCGUGUGGCAUGCGCUCGGCUGCGUUGGCCAAAUAGAAUGGCCUUACGGCUGGCCGACUGACUACGUACCUAAAACCUAGGUAGGCCCUCGUAUGGGACGCCGUCGGCCAAGUCGGCCACAGUGGUCGGGCCUACAUCGAUUGCCGACGAUCGGCCGACGUUAGGCCAAUGUCAAUCCCCAAAGCUGGGCCGCCCUUGGUUGCCGAAGUCGGGCCAACCGUUUUGCAGUCGGCCGGAGACGUCGGGCCGACCUUUUGCCACGGA